This 748-nucleotide ribosomal RNA is filed under the name Hyloscirtus phyllognathus (Roque treefrog). RNAcentral's name for it is "partial 12S ribosomal RNA". It matches the Rfam family "Bacterial small subunit ribosomal RNA", at positions 308 to 1372 of the family's 1533-position model. The record is from RNAcentral. Lineage: Eukaryota; Metazoa; Chordata; Amphibia; Anura; Hylidae.
CMGSACCCCUGUGAAAWSGCCCUUAAGCCCUAACAGGGCCAAGGAGCUGGUAUCAGGCACAACUAUUAGCCCAAGACACCUAGCUACGCCACACCCACACGGAACAACAGCAGUAAUUAACCUUGAAUAUAAGCGCCAGCUUGAUUCAGCUAAAGUAAAGAGGGCCGGCAAAUGUGGUGCCAGCCGCCGCGGUUAUACCACAUGACCCAAAUUGACUUCCUACGGCGUAAAGCGUGAUUAAAGUCCCCCGACACUGUAGUUAAACUGCUAUUAAGUCGUGAAACACUUUUGACCAGGAAACCCAAAAACGAAAGUUACUACACACAAAACAACUUGAACUCACUAAAGUUAGGACACAAACUAGGAUUAGAUACCCUACUAUGCCUGACCAUAAAAUAUUAACUUACACCAUUCAUCGCCAGGGAACUACGAGCAAAGCUUAAAACCCAAAGGACUUGACGGUAUCCCAUACCCCCCUAGAGGAGCCUGUCCUUUAAAUCGAUUAUCCACGUUUAACCUCACCACUUCUAGCCAUCAGUCUGUAUACCUCCGUCGCCAGCUUACCGCAUGAGUGAUAAAAAGUAAGCUUAAUGUACAAACUUCAGUACGUCAGGUCAAGGUGCAGCUUAUGAAGCGGGAAGAGAUGGGCUACACUUUCUAACUUAGAACAAACGAAAAACUAACUGAAAWAUAGCUAGAAGGCGGAUUUAGAAGUAAAAAGAKAUCAGAAUACUCUUKUUAACACGGC